AACGCACCUUGCACUCUUUGGUAUUCCGAAGAGUAUGUCUGUUUGAGUGUCAUGAAAUUCUCAACCCCCUCAUUUUGUAAAGAAGUGAGUCGUGGGCUUGGAUUAUGGCUGUCUGUCGGCUUCAUUGCCGGCUCAGCUGAAAUACACGAGCAACCCAGUUUGAAAAAUUGACGGCUUGACUCGGCGUAAUAAUUAUUAUCGCUGAGGACGUCUAAUCUUCGAAUCGUUAGUGGUGCUUCUAAUGCAAAUCAUUUUUAAGAUUUAGACCUCAAAUCAGUCAGGAUUACCCGCUGAACUUAA
Molecule: unclassified non-coding RNA, 300 nt
Filed under: uncultured fungus
Lineage: Eukaryota; Fungi
Also listed under: 1 other name
Description: partial contains 5.8S ribosomal RNA, internal transcribed spacer 2, and large subunit ribosomal RNA
Rfam family: 5.8S ribosomal RNA (bases 1-52)
Source: RNAcentral